Long non-coding RNA from Tetranychus urticae (two-spotted spider mite), 618 nucleotides. RefSeq lists it as uncharacterized. The record is from RefSeq and is a predicted model, not a curated record. NCBI's taxonomy places the organism in Eukaryota, Metazoa, Arthropoda, Arachnida, Trombidiformes, Tetranychidae.
AUGUAAAAGGUCAAAAAUUUGUUUGUGGUGCUAAUCUAGAUGUGAAAACAUUUCGUUCUUUCGGAAUUAUCUCUGAAAGCUAACGUGUGAUAUGAUGUAUUGUAUUGUUAUGUGUUUGAUUAUUGAGUACACACUAAGUUUAUGUAUUCAACAUUGAUAAAUCCUUGCAUUGUGUGAAUAACAAAUGAUUUAAUAAUCGUUGGUCAUAAGAUCCAAUCCUGAAAAUUAAAUUUCAACUGAUUGAAUAAUAAUCCAUCAUAACUAAAAUGUGAUGAUAUAAUUCAUUUACAAUACAUUUCAUGCACCAGGACCAUUCCUUGUGCAUGCAUCUUUUAUUUCAUUGAACUUACCAAAGUGUUUAUCAAACACAUGGGUGAAUCUCGAGUUGUUUAAAGGUUGGUUUAUUUUGAGCUUCAAUCAUCUCAACAAUCCAUACAAAUUUUAAUUCUUUUAUUGGCUUUCAUGGAGCCAUCUUCAUCAAAGGAUCUUUUAUGUUCUUGAUGGCAAAGGUUGUAUUAUUUUCUCAGCCACAAUGGAGGUUGCCAUAUUACAAAGGAUCCUGCGAUAAGUGCCAAAACAAGUAGGACAUUCCUUUUCGAGAAGCUUGGCUGCCAUCUC